This 181-nucleotide ribosomal RNA is filed under the name uncultured bacterium. RNAcentral's name for it is "partial 16S ribosomal RNA". It matches the Rfam family "Bacterial small subunit ribosomal RNA", at positions 1320 to 1500 of the family's 1533-position model. The record is from RNAcentral.
AUGAAGCUGGAAUCGCUAGUAAUCGCAGGUCAGCAUACUGCGGUGAAUACGUUCCCGGGUCUUGUACACACCGCCCGUCACACCAUGGGAGCCGGAAAUGCCCGAAGCCAGUGACCCAACCUUAGGGAGGGAGCUGUCGAAGGCGGAGCCGGUAACUGGGGUGAAGUCGUAACAAGGUACC